This 465-nucleotide ribosomal RNA is filed under the name uncultured bacterium. RNAcentral describes it as "partial 16S ribosomal RNA". It matches the Rfam family "Bacterial small subunit ribosomal RNA", at positions 330 to 794 of the family's 1533-position model. The record is from RNAcentral.
CCCAGACUCCUACGGGAGGCAGCAGUGGGGAAUAUUGCACAAUGGGGGAAACCCUGAUGCAGCGACGCCGCGUGAGUGAAGAAGUAUUUCGGUAUGUAAAGCUCUAUCAGCAGGGAAGAAAAACCGACCAUAGGGUCGCUAGACGGUACCUGAUUAAGAAGCCCCGGCUAACUACGUGCCAGCAGCCGCGGUAAUACGUAGGGGGCAAGCGUUAUCCGGAUUUACUGGGUGUAAAGGGAGCGUAGACGGCUGUGCAAGCCAGAUGUGAAAGCCCGGGGCUCAACCCCGGGACUGCAUUUGGAACUGUGUGGCCGGAGUGUCGGAGAGGCAGGCGGAAUUCCUAGUGUAGCGGUGAAAUGCGUAGAUAUUAGGAGGAACACCAGUGGCGAAGGCGGCCUGCUGGACGAUGACUGACGUUGAGGCUCGAAAGCGUGGGGAGCAAACAGGAUUAGAUACCCUCGUACU